GACGAACGCUGGCGGCGUGCUUAACACAUGCAAGUCGAACGAAGAGCGAUGGACGCUUGCUUCUAUCACUCUUAGUGGCGCACGGGUGAGUAACGCGUAAUCAACCUGCCCUUCAGAGGGGGACAACAGUUGGAAACGACUGCUAAUACCGCAUACGAUCUAAUCUCGGCAUCGAGGAUAGAUGAAAGGUGGCCUCUACAUGUAAGCUAUCACUGAAGGAGGGGAUUGCGUCUGAUUAGCUAGUUGGAGGGGUAACGGCCCACCAAGGCGAUGAUCAGUAGCCGGUCUGAGAGGAUGAACGGCCACAUUGGGACUGAGACACGGCCCAGACUCCUACGGGAGGCAGCAGUGGGGAAUCUUCCGCAAUGGACGAAAGUCUGACGGAGCAACGCCGCGUGAGUGAUGACGGCCUUCGGGUUGUAAAGCUCUGUUAAUCGGGACGAAAGGCCUUCUUGCGAAUAGGGAGAAGGAUUGACGGUACCGGAAUAGAAAGCCACGACUAACUACGUG
RNAcentral lists this ribosomal RNA (510 nucleotides) under uncultured bacterium. Its description in RNAcentral is "partial 16S ribosomal RNA". It matches the Rfam family "Bacterial small subunit ribosomal RNA", at positions 28 to 507 of the family's 1533-position model. The record is from RNAcentral.